RNAcentral lists this unclassified non-coding RNA (212 nucleotides) under Hevea brasiliensis (rubber tree). The record is from RNAcentral. Lineage: Eukaryota; Viridiplantae; Streptophyta; Magnoliopsida; Malpighiales; Euphorbiaceae.
GGAGAACCUCGGUGCAAGGCGGCGGGGGCGGGAGAGGGGCGGCGGGGGGAUCGGAGGAGCCGAAAUUGAAGCUGAAGUGGAGCGGAUUGGAGAAGGGGAAUUGAGGGUUUUGUGUGACGGUAUCGUUCUUGUUCUCCCCCAUGGCUGGGUUGAACGGUGAAAUGGGCACCACUGACUGGGAUCGGAGGACGGCGGUGGCGGUGGCGGUGGCG